AAGAGGCGGACGAUGGCUUCACCGAUACCGGUGGCACCACCGGUGACGAGGGCGACCUUCCCUUCCAACCUGUGCUUCGAUCGAAAGGAAACAUGUUUUCUUGGGAGUACCAAAUUCAACAGGGUAAAAGCUGCUGGCUAUAUAUUGCUUAAUAUGUUUUCUUGAGAGUAAAAGUUAAUUUACCUUUAGAUUUUGCACGGGACUACAAAGUGAUAAAAUCCAAUCCAAAAAAAGGUAAAAGCAGAGUUACGAGGUAUCGGAAUCGACUCGACUAACCCCUGGAGCAAGUUCUAGUGGCUGGGGGUGGCCGGUGGUGUGCUGCGGUGCGAAGCAGAGAGGCCGUGGAAAAGGAAGGAGCAGGGCACGUUACCGCU
Molecule: long non-coding RNA, 374 nt
Filed under: Panicum hallii
Lineage: Eukaryota; Viridiplantae; Streptophyta; Magnoliopsida; Poales; Poaceae
Description: long non-coding RNA (PHAL_LNC000838)
Source: RNAcentral